CAUUUUCUCAAUCACUUCAUCUGCUACCCCAUGGUUGAUUAACUGUUGCACCCAACAGUAAAAAUGAACUACUGAAUCCAUAGACGUAAAAAAAGUAUAAUUGUGUUUCAAUUAGGAAUCUGCUGGGAUUCAUCUACGGAAACUACAUCGAAUUCGACCUCUGGUCUGAUGUAUCUGGAUGGGAUGUUGUUGAGGUUCUUGGAUGCAAGAGUUUGGACAUUCUCAACUGGUAAAGAAUUUAACAUAUCUGUGCUCUGCACUUUUGUUUCCAUUGCUGUAAAGCUCUCUCAAGUUCAACACUACCCUCAAAUUAUCGUGUUAAUGCGCUAGAUACAACAAUCUUGUUAUUUCAAACAUUGGAAACAAGUUGCAAAAGAAGAGAUUUAACAUGGACGAAGAGCUGGUAAAGCCAAUAAGAUUUUUAACUAGAGCUUCAUUUGAUUCAACAUCCCUGGACCUUUCCCGCUAAGCCUCAGUAUCAGGAAUCUGCUGGGAUUCAUCUAUGGGAAC
Long non-coding RNA from Gossypium arboreum, 510 nucleotides. RefSeq lists it as uncharacterized. The record is from RefSeq and is a predicted model, not a curated record. Lineage: Eukaryota; Viridiplantae; Streptophyta; Magnoliopsida; Malvales; Malvaceae. The transcript has 4 exons.